Rhipicephalus microplus (southern cattle tick) is the source of this 186-nucleotide long non-coding RNA. NCBI's taxonomy places the organism in Eukaryota, Metazoa, Arthropoda, Arachnida, Ixodida, Ixodidae. The record is from RefSeq and is a predicted model, not a curated record.
GGGAAAGAUUCAAGGGCGCUCCGAUGCGACAGACUGUUGUUCAUGAAGCUGUGACGUACAUGCAUUCUGGAGUCAAUUACACGUGCGAAUUAGGCGCAUGCGACUCAACUGUUUGUAAACCUUACGACCUCCUGAUAGGCUGCUGGAAAGAUUAAUUUAGCUAUAAAUAAAUGAGACGUGCUGGAA